AAUGAACGCUGGCGGCAGGCCUAACACAUGCAAGUCGAACGGAGUUAUAUUGUAGCUUGCUAUGGUAUAACUUAGUGGCAGACGGGUGAGUAAUGUAUAGGAAUCUACCUAGUAGUACGGAAUAAUUGUUGGAAACGGCAACUAAUACCGUAUACGCCCUACGGGGGAAAAAUUUAUUGCUAUUAGAUGAGCCUAUAUUAGAUUAGUUAGUUGGUGAGGUAAAGGCUUACCAAGACAAUGAUCUAUAGCUGAUCUGAGAGGAUGAUCAGCCACACUGGAACUGAGAUACGGUCCAGACUCCUACGGGAGGCAGCAGUGGGGAAUAUUGGACAAUGGGC
Molecule: ribosomal RNA, 338 nt
Filed under: uncultured Hyphomicrobiales bacterium
Lineage: Bacteria; Pseudomonadati; Pseudomonadota; Alphaproteobacteria; Hyphomicrobiales
Description: bacterial SSU rRNA
Rfam family: Bacterial small subunit ribosomal RNA
Source: RNAcentral